Molecule: ribosomal RNA, 507 nt
Filed under: uncultured bacterium
Lineage: Bacteria
Description: partial 16S ribosomal RNA
Rfam family: Bacterial small subunit ribosomal RNA
Source: RNAcentral
GACGAACGCUGGCGGCGUGCCUAAUACAUGCAAGUCGAACGCAUUUUCUUUCACCGUAGCUUGCUACACCGAAAGAAAAUGAGUGGCGAACGGGUGAGUAACACGUGGGUAACCUGCCCAUCAGCGGGGGAUAACACUUGGAAACAGGUGCUAAUACCGCAUAAUUCCAUUUACCGCAUGGUAGAUGGGUGAAAGGCGCUUUUGCGUCACUGAUGGAUGGACCCGCGGUGCAUUAGCUAGUUGGUGGGGUAACGGCCUACCAAGGCUGCGAUGCAUAGCCGACCUGAGAGGGUGAUCGGCCACACUGGGACUGAGACACGGCCCAGACUCCUACGGGAGGCAGCAGGAGGGCAUCUUCGGCAAUGGACGCAAGUCUGACCGAGCAACGCCGCGUGAGUGAAGAAGGUUUUCGGAUCGUAAAACUCUGUUGUUAGAGAAGAACAAGGAUGAGGGUGGAAAGUUCAUCCCUUGACGGUAUCUAACCAGAAAGCCACGGCUAACUACGUG